Molecule: ribosomal RNA, 550 nt
Filed under: uncultured Funneliformis
Lineage: Eukaryota; Fungi; Glomeromycota; Glomeromycetes; Glomerales; Glomeraceae
Description: SSU rRNA
Rfam family: Eukaryotic small subunit ribosomal RNA
Source: RNAcentral
UUGGAGGGCAAGUCUGGUGCCAGCAGCCGCGGUAAUUCCAGCUCCAAUAGCGUAUAUUAAAGUUGUUGCAGUUAAAAAGCUCGUAGUUGAAUUUCGGGAUCAAUGUUUCGGUCAUGCCGUUGGUAUGUACUGAUAUUAUUGAUUUCUCACCUUCUAAAGAACCGUAAUGCCAUUAAUUUGGUGUCACGGGGAAUUAGGACUGUUACCUUGAAAAAAUUAGAGUGUUUAAAGCAGGCUCACGCUUGAAUACAUUAGCAUGGAAUAAUGAAAUAGGACAUCCGAUUCUAUUUUGUUGGUUUCUAGGAUCGAUGUAAUGAUUAAUAGGGAUAGUUGGGGGCAUUAGUAUUCAAUUGUCAGAGGUGAAAUUCUUGGAUUUAUUGAAGACUAACUACUGCGAAAGCAUUUGCCAAGGAUGUUUUCAUUAAUCAAGAACGAAAGUUAGGGGAUCGAAGACGAUCAGAUACCGUCGUAGUCUUAACCAUAAACUAUGCCGACUAGGGAUCGGAUGAUGUUAAUUUUUUAAUGAUUCAUUCGGCGCCUUACGGGAAAC